AGUGAACGCUGGCGGUAUGCCUAACACAUGCAAGUCGAACGGCAGCACAGUAAGAGCUUGCUCUUACGGGUGGCGAGUGGCGGACGGGUGAGGAAUACAUCGGAAUCUACUUUUUCGUGGGGGAUAACGUAGGGAAACUUACGCUAAUACCGCAUACGACCUACGGGUGAAAGCAGGGGAUCUUCGGACCUUUCGCGAUUGAAUGAGCCGAUGUCGGAUUAGCUAGUUGGCUGGGUAAAGGCCCACCAAGGCGACGAUCCGUAGCUGGUCUGAGAGGAUGAUCAGCCACACUGGAACUGAGACACGGUCCAGACUCCUACGGGAGGCAGCAGUGGGGAAUAUUGGACAAUGGGCGCAAGCCUGAUCCAGCAAUACCGCGUGGGUGAAGAAGGCCUUCGGGUUGUAAAGCCCUUUUGUUGGGAAAGAAAAGCAGCAGGUUAAUACCCCGCUGUUCUGACGGUACCCAAAGAAUAAGCACCGGCUAACUUCGUG
RNAcentral lists this ribosomal RNA (492 nucleotides) under uncultured bacterium. RNAcentral describes it as "partial 16S ribosomal RNA". It matches the Rfam family "Bacterial small subunit ribosomal RNA", at positions 29 to 507 of the family's 1533-position model. The record is from RNAcentral.